CAUUGUUCGGUUUUACCAAGUGCUAAAUGCAUAUCAGAGCUUCUAAAAGCUUGUCUCCUUUGCUCCUUUCCUUCACUGCAAGGUCUCACUAUGAUGAUGAUACACGAUACUCCCUUAAGUACGUUUAAGUACAUCGUUCUUGAAAAAAGAAUAUUUGAAACAUACAAAUUCAAAUGAUUAUUCCAACUGGGAUUUUGACUUGGUACCACUAAUAAAGUUACUCAUUUUCCUCGGUGAAGGUAAUAAUAAUAAUAAGUUGCUGGAUGCAUCUUGGAAUUCCAUAUAAUUAGCAAUGCAAGAUACAUACAAAAACUGUUUCUUGGGGUUUUAUCUAAAAUCCUCUUAUUAGUUGGCCAAAUAAAAUUUCUCCCUCUCCAUCUGUCUCUCUCUCUCCCUGUCCCUCUGUCUCUGUCUCCCUUUCUCUCUGUGUGUCUCUUCGGCUCUCUCUGUCUGUCUGUCUCUCUCCCUCUCUCUCUCUCUCUUUCUCUGUCUCUCUCUCUUUCUAUCUCUGUAUCUCUCUGUCCCUCCCUCCCUCCCUCUUGUUUCCUCUUUCUAAACUUCAUUUUCUUAAAGACAGCCCUGUAGCCCCAGGCCCUCAGAUUAAUACAGUUUCACCUUACUGAACUCUGUAGGCCGUGACGCGAGGAGCCAGCCAGCUCAAGCCAGUUCCUGACGCCUGACUGUAAACAGCCCUUCCCAGUCGCAGGUUCAGUGAUGUCACUUUGGGAACUUGAAAUUAGCCACUCCGAGUACUUGCACCCUGGAAACUGACAGAUGCUACAAAUCAGGUAUUUUCUUUCAGAGAGCUGACCGUUACACUUUCGUCAUCACACUGCUGGGCGAUUUCCAAAGGCCACUUUAAAGAGAAUUAAACAGAACAUGGAAAGAAAAACUGUGAAAUCAAAAGCCUGCAGGAGAACUAGAAGACGGAUAGAAUCCUAUGUCUGGUAUCCGCCAGCCUGCUCCCUUCCUUCCCCACCUAACGUAGCCGACCUCUGGAAUCGCGCCUUCAAAGUCCCCUCGCGUUUUCGUAAACACAGCGCUACCACACUCGUACAUGUAUGACCCAAAGUAUGUUUUACACCCGGAGCACAUCCUGACUGAGGCGGGCUUUGGGUCAGGUGUUUGACAGCCACCUGCGGGCAGCAGGCGCCAUGCCGGGCGGAGCAGCUCCAAACACACCCUCGGUACCUGGAAGUCAGCAGAUGUCUCCCUGUCAAUGACUGCCCAGCCACGGAGCACAGAAGUACUGACACGUUCCGUGCCAUGGGGAGCCUGGAAACUCGACCCUGAGUGAAAGGAGCCGGACAUAGGGAAGGUCGCACGAUUGCAGGUCCAGACCCAUGAGCCAGUCAUGAAAACCUUAGGAGGUUGUGACCAGAUUUGUAUUUAUUAAAUAGAAUAAACACAGAAUGGAAAAAUGUAUGAGAGCAUCGCACUCAGUGAAGCAGGGACUGCCUAGGUGGUGACGUCGAAGUGCCAGGUCCCCGCUACUUCCCCCUAUAUCGGUGUGGCAUCAGUGGGUUCCUGUGAGACUCAGCAGAGGACAGCGGCUGGAAAAAUUCUUCAUAAACGGUAAAGUGAAUGACAAGGAGGCAGGGGAUCCUAGUAUAUACUGAAGUAACACACUGAAGUUUAGAGAGCUUCUUUAACACAUGCGAGGCCUCCUUGUAAAGAUGGGAGAGGUCCCUAAACAGAUGAGCGAGGCGGGCGGGGUCCGUGCACAGAUACGCAGGUAUAUGUUCUGCAGUGGUCUAUGCACACAGGAAGGCUUGUGUGUAGAAGCUGUGUCCUCAUACAGAUACUUUUAAGUGGGAGAAGGCUUUUACCCAAACGGAGGCAUCCUUACAGGUGAGAUGAGGCUUACACACAGAAGUGAAGGGUUUUCAUUGAUGCAACUGACUAUUAUUUUUUAAAUGUUGUGCAAAUGCUAGUGACCUUUGCACAGGCUUGAAGGUUCUUCCUAAAGAUAAAGGCAUCGCUGCGCUGUAGAACUAUGUAACAGUUGGAGCGGCCUUGCACUGGCGGUCGCUGUUCAGCCGGGCUCUGUCGCGGCCUCCGAGGGAGCAGCGCGGUACCUGCGCGGGCAGGCGGCAGGUGGG
Long non-coding RNA from Camelus dromedarius (Arabian camel), 2102 nucleotides. RefSeq lists it as uncharacterized. The record is from RefSeq and is a predicted model, not a curated record. Lineage: Eukaryota; Metazoa; Chordata; Mammalia; Artiodactyla; Camelidae. The transcript is spliced from 5 exons.